CCUACGGGUGGCAGCAGUGGGGAAUAUUGCACAAUGGGGGAAACCCUGAUGCAGCAACGCCGCGUGAGUGAAGAAGUAUUUCGGUAUGUAAAGCUCUAUCAGCAGGGAAGAAAAUGACAGUACCUGACUAAGAAGCCACUGCUAACUACGUGCCAGCAGCCGCGGUAAUACGGAGGGCGCAAGCGUUAUCCGGAUUUACUGGGUGUAAAGUGAGCGUAGACGGCUGCGCAAGUCAGAAGUGAAAGCCCGGGGUUCAACCGCGGGACUGCAUUUGAAACUGGAAAGCUAGAGUGCAGGAGAGGUAAGUGGAAUUCCUAGUGUAGGGGUGAAAUGCGUAGAUAUUAGGAGGAACACCAGUGGCGAAGGCGACUAACUGGACUAUAACUGACGUUGAGGCUCGAAAGCGUGGGGAGCAAACAGGAUUAGAUACCCCAGUAGUC
Molecule: ribosomal RNA, 440 nt
Filed under: uncultured bacterium
Lineage: Bacteria
Description: partial 16S ribosomal RNA
Rfam family: Bacterial small subunit ribosomal RNA
Source: RNAcentral